CUCCGAGUAAAGGCACAUUACAGUAGAGAAAAAAAAAGUGCACCGUUAAAUCAUACGACGCGUGUCUGAAAAGUUGCAGGAUCCCUGUCACAAAAGACGGAUUUCAAACCAAAUUUACAAACACUAGUUUUCACCUUCACAGGGGGCCAAACGUCAAGCGACGGCUGCUUGGGUUAGCACGCGAGAAGAUGCAAGAGUUGGACAACUGGUGACUUCUUCACCGUGACAACGAACACGUCCGAUCACCAGGCACACACUGCAAACGCAGCCGAGGUUCGACAAUGACCAGAUGUUGUUCAGGAGCUGUUUCACAUGGCGUGCAGCCCAUCCCAGCCGGCAUUGCUCCUUAAGUGCGGCUCAUACCCACUUGAAAUUUGAAUUCAUAAACAGCUUCACUUCUAAAGAAAACUAAAACCCACAUCAAGUUUGCAAUUAAAAAAUGGUGAAGAAGAGGAAAAAAAGUCUUUAGUCGUGGCUACUCUCCAAGGUUCCGCAUU
Molecule: long non-coding RNA, 497 nt
Organism: Syngnathus typhle (broad-nosed pipefish)
Lineage: Eukaryota; Metazoa; Chordata; Actinopteri; Syngnathiformes; Syngnathidae
Exons: 2
Source: RefSeq, a predicted model, not a curated record